UCGGUGUCUAGAUCCAGGAAAUGGAGAAUGU
Molecule: non-coding RNA, 31 nt
Filed under: Macaca fascicularis (crab-eating macaque)
Lineage: Eukaryota; Metazoa; Chordata; Mammalia; Primates; Cercopithecidae
Also listed under: 1 other name
Source: RNAcentral